This 433-nucleotide ribosomal RNA is filed under the name uncultured bacterium. RNAcentral's name for it is "partial 16S ribosomal RNA". It matches the Rfam family "Bacterial small subunit ribosomal RNA", at positions 29 to 507 of the family's 1533-position model. The record is from RNAcentral.
AACGAACGCUGGCGGCAUGCCUAACACAUGCAAGUCGAACGAGACCUUCGGGUCUAGUGGCGCACGGGUGCGUAACGCGUGGGAACCUGCCCUUAGGUUCGGAAUAACUCCCCGAAAGGGGUGCUAAUACCGGAUAAUGUCUUCGGCCCAAAGAUUUAUCGCCGUUGGAUGGGCGCGCGUUGGAUUAGCUAGUUGGUAGUGUAAAAGCCUACCAAGGCGACGAUCCAUAGCUGGUCUGAGAGGAUGAUCAGCCACACUGGGACUGAGACACGGCCCAGACUCCUACGGGAGGGAGCAGUGGGGAAUAUUGGACAAUGGGCGAAAGCCUGAUCCAGCAAUGCCGCGUGAGUGAUGAAGGCCUUAGGGUUGUAAAGCUCUUUUACCCGGGAUGAUAAUGACAGUACCGGGAGAAUAAGCUCCGGCUAACUCCGUG